Molecule: non-coding RNA, 24 nt
Filed under: Cricetulus griseus (Chinese hamster)
Lineage: Eukaryota; Metazoa; Chordata; Mammalia; Rodentia; Cricetidae
Source: RNAcentral
UUGUUGGCAUCCAUACUCCUAAAG